GAACAGAUCCUUAGGAAGCUUAUUCAAGUUAUUGUUUCGUUUUAAUAAUGAAUGCAGUACUCUAACUCGGACACUGUCGUGUAUGUUGGUUGUGGAGAAAGAGGAAACGAAAUGGCAGAGGUAUGGAGUUUUUCCACUCUAUUUGCGAGUUCUUUCUUAUUAUAUUGAGUCACAUAGCAGAAGAUCCUUAAUUUCAGGUACUUAUAAGUUUUUCCACUCUAUUUGCGAGCUCUUUCUUAUUAUAUUGAGUCACAUAGCAGAAGAUCCUUAAUUUCAGGUACUUAUGGAUUUCCCUCAAUUGACAAUGACAUUGCCUGAUGGGCGUGAAGAGUCUGUCAUGAAACGUACCACACUUGUGGCUAAUACUUCAAACAUGCCUGUGGCUGCUCGUGAGGCCUCAAUCUACACAGGUCGGUACUUGCUUCACUCCCUAAUAUUGUUACUAUGUCAAUAUCCCUUGGAGAAGGUCCUUGAUUCUGCCAUUUACAAUUGGUCUUAUCUCAUCAUGUAAUUUUCCUGUAUUAGAUAGAUGCUUGGUGAGGGUGAUUCACAAUCGAUGCUUGCUGUCUUUCCUCUUGCUCUUGAUAAAAAAGAAUGACAAAAUGUCCAGUAGAAUAACUAUAAUUGCUUAGCUUUAGAAUUCUAGCUAACAUAAUUACUCCGGCACCUGUUUAUUAUACCAGAUAAAAGAGUGUUCCACUUUUUGUUCUUUGUAUGUUCAUGUUCAUGUAGAUGUUUUCUGCUGAGUGCUGCUUCCGAAAUAAAGUAUCAUCUUAUAUUCCGUUGAUGUCUUUUACAACAACAACAACCCAAGAUAAUCCCACUUAGUGGGGUCUGGGGAGGGUAGUGUGUACGCAGACCUUACCCCUACCCU
RNAcentral lists this long non-coding RNA (874 nucleotides) under Nicotiana benthamiana. Its description in RNAcentral is "long non-coding RNA (NBEN_LNC040486)". Lineage: Eukaryota; Viridiplantae; Streptophyta; Magnoliopsida; Solanales; Solanaceae. The record is from RNAcentral.